GCCUCCAUAGUUCAAUUGGUAGAACACAAAACUCGUAAUUUUGAGACAUCAGUUCAAAUCUGAUUGGAGGCU
This 72-nucleotide transfer RNA is filed under the name Fidelibacterota bacterium. Its description in RNAcentral is "tRNA-Thr". It matches the Rfam family "tRNA". From Rfam's summary of the family: Transfer RNA (tRNA) molecules are approximately 80 nucleotides in length. Their secondary structure includes four short double-helical elements and three loops (D, anti-codon, and T loops). The record is from RNAcentral. Lineage: Bacteria; Pseudomonadati; Fidelibacterota.